RNAcentral lists this ribosomal RNA (811 nucleotides) under uncultured bacterium. RNAcentral's name for it is "bacterial SSU rRNA". It matches the Rfam family "Bacterial small subunit ribosomal RNA", at positions 29 to 835 of the family's 1533-position model. The record is from RNAcentral.
UUGAACGCUGGCGGAAUGCUUUACACAUGCAAGUCGAACGGCAGCACGGACUUCGGUCUGGUGGCGAGUGGCGAACGGGUGAGUAAUAUAUCGGAACGUAUCCAAUAAUGGGGGAUAACUAAUCGAAAGGUUGGCUAAUACCGCAUACGCCCUACGGGGGAAAGCUAGGGACCUUCGGGCCUGGCGUUAAUGGAGCGGCCGAUAUCUGAUUAGCUAGUUGGUGAGGUAAGAGCUCACCAAGGCGACGAUCAGUAGCUGGUCUGAGAGGACGACCAGCCACACUGGAACUGAGACACGGUCCAGACUCCUACGGGAGGCAGCAGUGGGGAAUUUUGGACAAUGGGCGCAAGCCUGAUCCAGCCAUUCCGCGUGAGUGAAGAAGGCCUUCGGGUUGUAAAGCUCUUUCGCAAGGGAAGAAAACUUAGUUACUAAUAUUAACUGAGGUUGACGGUACCUUGAUAAGAAGCACCGGCUAACUACGUGCCAGCAGCCGCGGUAAUACGUAGGGUGCGAGCGUUAAUCGGAAUUACUGGGCGUAAAGCGUGCGCAGGCUGUUUUGUAAGUCAGAUGUGAAAUCCCCGAGCUCAACUUGGGAACUGCGUUUGAAACUACAAGACUAGAAUAUGUCAGAGGGGGGUAGAAUUCCACGUGUAGCAGUGAAAUGCGUAGAGAUGUGGAGGAAUAUCAAUGGCGAAGGCAGCCCCCUGGGAUAAUAUUGACGCUCAUGCACGAAAGCGUGGGGAGCAAACAGGAUUAGAUACCCUGGUAGUCCACGCCCUAAACGAUGUCUACUAGUUGUUGGUGGAGUAAA